RNAcentral lists this transfer RNA (90 nucleotides) under Pseudoalteromonas luteoviolacea. RNAcentral's name for it is "tRNA-Ser". It matches the Rfam family "tRNA". From Rfam's summary of the family: Transfer RNA (tRNA) molecules are approximately 80 nucleotides in length. Their secondary structure includes four short double-helical elements and three loops (D, anti-codon, and T loops). Further hydrogen bonds mediate the characteristic L-shaped molecular structure. tRNAs have two regions of fundamental functional importance: the anti-codon, which is responsible for specific mRNA codon recognition, and the 3' end, to which the tRNAs corresponding amino acid is attached (by aminoacyl-tRNA synthetases). tRNAs cope with the degeneracy of the genetic code in two manners: having more than one tRNA (with a specific anti-codon) for a particular amino acid; and 'wobble' base-pairing, i.e. permitting non-standard base-pairing at the 3rd anti-codon position. RNAcentral also lists the same sequence under 16 other names. The record is from RNAcentral. Lineage: Bacteria; Pseudomonadati; Pseudomonadota; Gammaproteobacteria; Alteromonadales; Pseudoalteromonadaceae.
GGAGAGGUGGCUGAGUGGCUGAAGGCGCACGACUGGAACUCGUGUAUAGGUUAACCCCUAUCGAGGGUUCGAAUCCCUCCCUCUCCGCCA